Molecule: ribosomal RNA, 433 nt
Filed under: uncultured bacterium
Lineage: Bacteria
Description: partial 16S ribosomal RNA
Rfam family: Bacterial small subunit ribosomal RNA
Source: RNAcentral
AACGAACGCUGGCGGCAUGCCUAACACAUGCAAGUCGAACGAGACCUUCGGGUCUAGUGGCGCACGGGUGCGUAACGCGUGGGAACCUGCCCUUAGGUUCGGAAGAACUUCCCGAAAGGGGUGCUAAUACCGGCUAAUAUCUUCCGUCCAAAGGUUUAUCGCCUUUGGAUGGGCUGGCGUUGUAUUGCCAUGUUGGUAGGGUAAAAGCCUACCAAGGCUACGAUCCAUAGAUGGUUAGAGAGGAUGAGCAGCGACACUGGGACGGAGACACGGCCCAGACUACUACGGGAGGGAGCAGUGGGGGAUACUGGAAAAUGGGCGAAGGGCUGAUGCAGCAAUGACGCGUGAGUGAUGAAGGCCGUAGGGUUGUAAAGCACUUUUACCCGGGAUGAUAAUGACAGUACCGGGAGAAUAAGCACCGGCUAACUCCGUG